UUGAAGUGUUUGGGGGAACUC
This 21-nucleotide microRNA is filed under the name Cucumis melo (muskmelon). RNAcentral describes it as "cme-miR395c". Its record names the gene cme-miR395b. RNAcentral also lists the same sequence under 2 other names. Lineage: Eukaryota; Viridiplantae; Streptophyta; Magnoliopsida; Cucurbitales; Cucurbitaceae. The record is from miRBase by way of RNAcentral.